Molecule: long non-coding RNA, 755 nt
Organism: Microtus ochrogaster (prairie vole)
Lineage: Eukaryota; Metazoa; Chordata; Mammalia; Rodentia; Cricetidae
Exons: 4
Source: RefSeq, a predicted model, not a curated record
AGAGCUGCAAUUUAACUUCUCGUUACUAGCAGUCUCAUCAAAUACAUUUGCAAAGUGAGGCCUCAUGGUGCAGCAAUGUUAGCCAAGAUUCUUGGGAGGAUAAGCAGGAUGUCCACGAGUUUAAGGCCUGUUUGAAUUAAUUAAAGGCCAACCUGUUAAACUUACUGAAAUGUCUCAAAAGAAAAAAAAAAGAAAAGAAAAUGAAAAAAGAGGGGGGCGAGUGAGGGAAGACUGAGGUUUUACCUUAGUACAAAAACACUUGCUAGUGCACAUCAAGUCCUUGGAUUUGGUCUCAACAAAUAGCAAAGCCAAAAUCCAUAACUCUUUAAAAAUAAAUAAAUAAAACUUUACAUAAAUACUUAGGCAUAGAUAUGGAAAUUAGAUCAAAUUUUUGAGUACUUUUUCACUAAACAUAAAUUGUAGUCCCACAGCCAAAUAUUAGGUGGAGCUUGGGGAGUCCUGAAGAGGAGGGGAAGGAAGGACCAAAGAAGACAGGGACACCAUGAGAACAGAGUCCACAGAAUCAACUGACCAGGACUCAUGGGAACUCACAGAGAUCAGUACGCAGAGGGGCUGACCAAGGUCCUCUACACAUAUGGAGGUUUUGGCUCAUAGAUAAGGGGCUCUUGAACUCACGAAUUCACAGCAGCUGUGGGUACCUGCCAGGAAGGAAGCAUCAUUCUCUGAUGGCAUGCCUACUGGUAGAAUUCUCACAUUAUGAGACCCAUAUUGGAGCACCGGACAGAAAUCUCAAG